RNAcentral lists this ribosomal RNA (896 nucleotides) under Fusarium graminearum. RNAcentral's name for it is "LSU rRNA". It matches the Rfam family "Eukaryotic large subunit ribosomal RNA", at positions 38 to 964 of the family's 3401-position model. Lineage: Eukaryota; Fungi; Ascomycota; Sordariomycetes; Hypocreales; Nectriaceae. The record is from RNAcentral.
GCAUAUCAAUAAGCGGAGGAAAAGAAACCAACAGGGAUUGCCCUAGUAACGGCGAGUGAAGCGGCAACAGCUCAAAUUUGAAAUCUGGCUUUCGGGCCCGAGUUGUAAUUUGUAGAGGAUGAUUUUGAUGCGGUGCCUUCCGAGUUCCCUGGAACGGGACGCCAUAGAGGGUGAGAGCCCCGUCUGGUUGGAUGCCAAAUCUCUGUAAAUCUCCUUCGACGAGUCGAGUAGUUUGGGAAUGCUGCUCUAAAUGGGAGGUAUAUGUCUUCUAAAGCUAAAUACCGGCCAGAGACCGAUAGCGCACAAGUAGAGUGAUCGAAAGAUGAAAAGCACUUUGAAAAGAGAGUUAAAAAGUACGUGAAAUUGUUGAAAGGGAAGCGUUUAUGACCAGACUUGGGCUUGGUUAAUCAUCUGGGGUUCUCUCCAGUGCACUUUUCCAGUCCAGGCCAGCAUCAGUUUUCGCCGGGGGAUAAAGGCUUCGGGAAUGUGGCUCCCCUCGGGGAGUGUUAUAGCCCGUUGUGUAAUACCCUGGUGGGGACUGAGGUUCGCGCUUCUGCAAGGAUGCUGGCGUAAUGGUCAUCAACGACCCGUCUUGAAACACGGACCAAGGAGUCGUCUUCGUAUGCGAGUGUUCGGGUGUCAAACCCCUACGCGUAAUGAAAGUGAACGCAGGUGAGAGCUUCGGCGCAUCAUCGACCGAUCCUGAUGUUCUCGGAUGGAUUUGAGUAAGAGCAUACGGGGCCGGACCCGAAAGAAGGUGAACUAUGCCUGUGUAGGGUGAAGCCAGAGGAAACUCUGGUGGAGGCUCGCAGCGGUUCUGACGUGCAAAUCGAUCGUCAAACAUGGGCAUGGGGGCGAAAGACUAAUCGAACCUUCUAGUAGCUGGNUUCCGCCGA